GAUGAACGCUGGCGGCGUGCCUAAUACAUGCAAGUCGAGCGAACAGACGAGGAGCUUGCUCCUCUGACGUUAGCGGCGGACGGGUGAGUAACACGUGGAUAACCUACCUAUAAGACUGGGAUAACUUCGGGAAACCGGAGCUAAUACCGGCUAAUAUCUUGAACCGCAUGGUUCAAUAGUGAAAGACGGUUUUGCUGUCACUUAUAGAUGGAUCCGCGCCGCAUUAGCUAGUUGGUAAGGUAACGGCUUACCAAGGCGACGAUGCGUAGCCGACCUGAGAGGGUGAUCGGCCACACUGGAACUGAGACACGGUCCAGACUCCUACGGGAGGCAGCAGUAGGGAAUCUUCCGCAAUGGGCGAAAGCCUGACGGAGCAACGCCGCGUGAGUGAUGAAGGUCUUCGGAUCGUAAAACUCUGUUAUUAGGGAAGAACAAAUGUGUAAGUAACCAUGCACGUCUUGACGGUACCUAAUCAGAAAGCCACGGCUAACUACGUG
RNAcentral lists this ribosomal RNA (497 nucleotides) under uncultured bacterium. Its description in RNAcentral is "partial 16S ribosomal RNA". It matches the Rfam family "Bacterial small subunit ribosomal RNA", at positions 28 to 507 of the family's 1533-position model. The record is from RNAcentral.